GGAGGGAAAGUUGCAAAGAACUUUGAAGAGAGAGUUCAAGAGGGCGUGAAACCGAUUAGAGGGAAACGGGUAGAGCCAAUGAAAGCCAGUAGCAUUCAGCUGUGUCUUCGGAUGCGGUGUAUUUGCUGCUGGCGACGCUGAUGGAAGUGGUGCUUGCUUUCGACGCCUCCUUAGAGGACUGCUUCGGCAGAACCCUAUUGGUGCGCAUUAGACUGCUUUGUACUGCCUUGAAACAGUGCCCACCCUGGCGACGGCGUGCUUGUUUGACGUCGGAUCGCGUAGAUAAGCGGGUCAAGUGUAGCUUCGUCUAUGCCCCUGCCGCGCGUUCUAAAUCGUACAAGGGAUCGGUAUCUGAGUCAGUGUAAAAGUUGGCGGCCUACCUGACCCGUCUUGAAACACGGACCAAGGAGUCUAACAUGUGCGCGAGUUGAAAGGUGGUAAACCUAUAGAGCAUAAUGAAAGUGAAGGCUGGUUAAACUGGCUGAUAUGGGACCGGGUCUUCACUGGUCUGGUCACCAUAGUCCCGUCGCGUCUGCAUGUCAGUGCGGCGGAGACAGAGCGUACACGUUGGGACCCGAAAGAUGGUGAACUAUGCCUGAGCAGGAUGAAGCCAGGGGAAACUCUGGUGGAGGUCCGAAGCGGUUCUGACGUGCAAAUCGAUCGUCAGACUUGGGUAUAGGGGCGAAAGACUAAUCGAACCAUCUAGUAGCUG
Molecule: ribosomal RNA, 712 nt
Filed under: Axonolaimus glandifer
Lineage: Eukaryota; Metazoa; Nematoda; Chromadorea; Araeolaimida; Axonolaimidae
Description: partial large subunit ribosomal RNA
Rfam family: Eukaryotic large subunit ribosomal RNA
Source: RNAcentral